UGAGGAAGACGAGCCGUGAUUAUCAUCAAGGUUUUAAGACCCUCAUCCAAGAUUACCUUCAAAAGCUGAGUUGUGCAACCGAGUUAACAUUAAGAACUUGUUCAACCAGGUUUGUGAUGUUUGUCAUUAGUACCCUGCAUAUCAAAACAGGGAUGCUUUUGCUUAGUUGUACAUAACUUGGUGCUGUCAAGUUAUUAAAUUACAUGUCCUUGCUAAAAAACUAGAGUCCUUAUUUUUUCAGAUUUAUUCUAGCAGACAGUUUCAGAAUGUUACUAUUAUCAGAUUUAGUCAUUUUCAAUCCCCA
RNAcentral lists this unclassified non-coding RNA (304 nucleotides) under Hevea brasiliensis (rubber tree). Lineage: Eukaryota; Viridiplantae; Streptophyta; Magnoliopsida; Malpighiales; Euphorbiaceae. The record is from RNAcentral.